Molecule: ribosomal RNA, 253 nt
Filed under: uncultured bacterium
Lineage: Bacteria
Description: partial 16S ribosomal RNA
Rfam family: Bacterial small subunit ribosomal RNA
Source: RNAcentral
UACGUAGGGUGCAAGCGUUGUCCGGAAUUAUUGGGCGUAAAGAGCUCGUAGGCGGUCUGUCACGUCGGCUGUGAAAACCCGAGGCUCAACCUCGGGCCUGCAGUCGAUACGGGCAGACUAGAGUUCGGUAGGGGAGACUGGAAUUCCUGGUGUAGCGGUGAAAUGCGCAGAUAUCAGGAGGAACACCGGUGGCGAAGGCGGCAUCCUGGACCGACAUUGACGCUGAACGGCGAAGGCUAGGGGAGCAAACGGG